UGCAAUGUUUGCAAAAGUACGCGAACGCUAAGUAGCAACAAACCGGCAGACAGAAAAACAGCUGAUUAUUUGUUUACUGCUAAGAAAUAGUUGAAAUUUGUUUCGUGACAAUUUACUAUCCAUAACGGUAUUGUGCUUUAAGUGAUAAAACUUAAACUUAAAUGGACUGGGUGCAGCUGCAAGCAAGUCGUGAGGAAAUUGUCGUAUUUCUUUAAAUAUGAAGAUGAGACCGCGGAAAGCUUUACGUGUGUGUAUUUCGGCCACGCAAUGAAGUGUAGUGAUAACGCCUUCUCGGCAGCCGUGCGUUUUGUAGUGAUCCUAGAUGGUGCUGUAUUGGGAAUAUUACUUUUUACGGCCUUGGAUUUUGUUGGUGU
This is a long non-coding RNA of Bactrocera neohumeralis, 374 nucleotides long. RefSeq lists it as uncharacterized. The transcript has 3 exons. Lineage: Eukaryota; Metazoa; Arthropoda; Insecta; Diptera; Tephritidae. The record is from RefSeq and is a predicted model, not a curated record.